GAAGUCUUCUGGUAAACGACUUACACGGAAGUCUUCCAGGAUUUUAUUCUGAGAUUCUGCUCAAACCUUGGUUAUUACAGAAGACUUCCGUGUAAGUCGUUUACCAGAAGACUU
RNAcentral lists this microRNA precursor (114 nucleotides) under Brassica oleracea var. oleracea. RNAcentral describes it as "pre miRNA MIR477". Lineage: Eukaryota; Viridiplantae; Streptophyta; Magnoliopsida; Brassicales; Brassicaceae. The record is from RNAcentral.